UACGUAGGGGGCAAGCGUUGUCCGGAAUCAUUGGGCGUAAAGCGCGUGUAGGCGGCUCGAUAAGUCUGCUGUGAAAGUCCAGGGCUCAACCCUGGGAUGCCGGUGGAUACUGUCGAGCUUGAGUCCGGAAGAGGCGAGUGGAAUUCCUGGUGUAGCGGUGAAAUGCGCAGAUAUCAGGAGGAACACCUAUGGCGAAGGCAGCUCGCUGGGACGUGACUGACGCUGAGACGCGAAAGCGUGGGGAGCAAGCAGG
This 253-nucleotide ribosomal RNA is filed under the name uncultured bacterium. RNAcentral's name for it is "partial 16S ribosomal RNA". It matches the Rfam family "Bacterial small subunit ribosomal RNA", at positions 524 to 776 of the family's 1533-position model. The record is from RNAcentral.